RNAcentral lists this small nuclear RNA (66 nucleotides) under Microtus ochrogaster (prairie vole). The record is from RNAcentral. Lineage: Eukaryota; Metazoa; Chordata; Mammalia; Rodentia; Cricetidae.
CUAGAGAUGAUUAGCAUGGCCCUGUGCAAGGAUAACAUACAAAUUUGUGACGUGUUCCCGGUUUUU